GUGUUACCUGCCCCGUGUUACCUGCCCCGUGUUACCUGCCCCGUGUUACCUGCCCCGUGUUUACUUGUGGUUCGGUUUGUGUUUCUUCAGUUUUAUUUGUUACUUUGUAUUUUCUGAUUCAGCUUUGUUUAUUAAAGGCUGGUUUUUUGUUAUAAUCUUAGUCUGUUGUCUGCAUUUGUCUUGAACCCUGACACUUUUAGCUCUGUGUUUGGUCUCCACCAGCUCCUGAGAUGAAUAUCUGUCUCUGAAGCUGCACCGUGUUCACCAGCUGGUCUCCAACUGUGUCCGUCUGCUGUUUGAUGACAUUAAAAUACAGCAAAGCAGUAGGUGAUGACAGCUUAUUAUCCUCUACAAAUAGCAAUUCAGCUGAUUUCCAAAGCUGAGACGCUGUGGAGGCGGAGCCGGCGCUAAUCAAAACUGCAGGGCAACUCUUUGCAAGAUCCAAGGGUUUCUCUGAGGAACAGAAGCCUGGAAUGGAGGCGAGGUGACCUCAGAUGAAACUAGCUCAACCCCCAACCGGUUACACUCGCUCAGGGCGACGAAGCUGCAGCCAGGCAGAGACAGCGAGGAGGCAAAAGGAACUAACUUCAAGGACAACACGGAUAAAGUGCACAAAGGCUCCUAUAAUAAUCUACAACCUUCUUCUGCCUGAAUCUGGACGACACAACUGGUGGAAAGAAGACAAGAGAAAAUGAAGAGAUGGACAUUUCUGCUCUGCGUUUUCUCUCUUAUUUGCAUUUUUAUCGGCCAUUUGAGGGCUGGUGAUGAACUGACUUUAGACUUGAUAUUGAGCCGCUGUAUAUUCUCUUUACUAUGAACUUGUGCACAUCUUAGCAAUAUGUUUGCACAUCCUGCACUGAACUGUUGUUAUAAUAUAUUUUUCUAUUCUAUAUUUAUGUUCUUGACUUCCCCUGUAUCUUCAAAUCCUCUUAAUACGUUUAUUGAAAGAUCCAAACACCAAAGGCAAAUACCAUGUAAGUGAAAAUGAUGUACACGCUUUUAAA
Molecule: long non-coding RNA, 1004 nt
Organism: Cottoperca gobio
Lineage: Eukaryota; Metazoa; Chordata; Actinopteri; Perciformes; Bovichtidae
Source: Ensembl